Molecule: long non-coding RNA, 3012 nt
Organism: Halichondria panicea
Lineage: Eukaryota; Metazoa; Porifera; Demospongiae; Suberitida; Halichondriidae
Exons: 7
Source: RefSeq, a predicted model, not a curated record
AUUAAAUGUCCAAGAAAUUCCUGGACACACUUGAACCAAACCACAAUGUGAGUUUGACCAGACUCAAGCUUUUAGGUUGAGGCGGGUAUUCGAGACUACAAGCUGUAUUGGUUUGUACAAGUACAUCAUUGUAGACGUCAUGUGAGGUGUCUUUGGUAAAAAAAGUACCACUGCGUCUGCCGGAGAAUGUGUUUCGCAAGACUAGUAACCAUUACUAUUUGAAAAGGUGGAGGUCUGCAUGCAAUGGUGGAUGGUGCUAUGUAAACAUAGUGCUGUUUCAUCAUACAUCGGAGUCUCUCCACACCAUUUGGAAUGUUGCGAUACGUAACUUUCAAAUUGUUAAAAUAGGCGUGGAUCGCCUCAGCCCCUUGCUCUCCCAUGAGUCCUAUUCCCACCUGCCACUGGUCCAGCCAAUCAACCACAUGCUUCUCUAGCAUGUGCAUCUUUGGUAUGACGGUUGCUUGAGGAAAUUGCUCCCGAUAAAAUGUCAUAAAGGUGGAGAUGGGAGUAUCUUUGGAGUAAAUUUACAUGAGUUAGGGUGACACAAAACUUCCGCUGGAUCUUCUCAGCACUCGUAACUAUGGACGGCUCAUAACUGCUUGCUCUGAGUACAACGGUAUUGCGAGUUUCUCAAUGUUCCUCACCUGUAGAGUGAUAUUCAAAGUAAGUUUGUUUUUAGUUAAUAACGUACCUGGAGGGUCCGGUUUACGUGAUUUCCCACAAAUGUGCCACCAUAGUACGUUUGUCUCCGAACAUUGAAGUCUUCUAGAGCAGCAUCUAGAGCCUUAACAAAAGGUCCAUCCUCUUUCUUGUACCCUUUUGCUGUUUUCUCGUUAAUCUUAGUCCACUCAGCAUCCUAAUCCAUAAUUAUGUACACAACUCAGCAUCCUAAUCCAUAAUUAUGUACACAACUCAUCGUCUUAGUUUAAUAAUAAUUAUCACUUACAAGCUUCUUCGCGUGCGAAGCUUUCUCCUCAAAUUCUGAGCGGAGUGCUGAGAGUCGAGGAUCGUCUUCCUCCUCACCUUCACCAAACACACAGAGCAAGGCCACCAGGUCAUUGAGUUGAGCCACUUCUUCGUUUACCCUAUACAUUUAUUUUAUUGCUUUAAAUUUUAUGUGUUCCAUGUAAAUUUAAUCACCUGUCUAGCUCAUCCUUGAGGGCUCUCUCUCUCACAGAGUCACUCAUGAAGUUUGAGUAUGAAGGGCCACCCCUCUCGCGACUAUCUUCACACCAUAAGACUGCAUUGUCAAGCGCACGACAUUCAUCCUCCAUCAAUUGGAAGAGCCGGUAAAAUAUCCCUAAACUGAUGUGCAGUCCUGGAGGGCAAACCUGCAUUUCCAUUUUGGAAUAAGGUGGGUGUGAAUUAACAAUGUAGAUGUUACUUGAUUCAAAGGGAUGCAUUUGAAAAAAGGUUCCCGAACACAAUUGUUGAAGUUUUUGACGUUCUUUAGGAUCCCUCCGGCUGCAAUGAAGCUGUGGUGGUCUGUGACCAUACUGGCAGUGCUUCUGCUUUGAACAGUAGUGGGUGGGUUCCUUAGCUGUUCUGAUGUUGUCAAGCACCACAAGCAACACUGCCGACCUAUUCAGAAUUUCACGUAAAGUAAGGUAUGUGUAUAAUAUAGUUAUUCCUUUUACCUGAAGCACCUGACAGCCCAUAUAUGUUACACAGGAACUCAUAAUCCCCGCUAAGGAAUACUCGGAUUGUCUUUCCUCUGUACACGUUACAAUUAUAGUUUUUAAUAUUCUGCUUAGUACCUCCAUGUCUUGCUCUGUAGGCUGUCCACCUCAUCUUCGAACCUCUGUAGUGCGAUCUUCAGGUUGGUAACGUUGUCGGGAGCCUCAAAAACACAAAAAGCACAGGUAUUAACUGAAUAGCCGCGGUUAUGAUUUCAUACGUAGUACCGCCCACCGCGGAACCAAAAUCUAAUUAAUUUUAAAUUACUUUCAUUAUCAGCUCCUAGCCAAGAAAAAUGCGUAGCUAAGAAGCGGUAGCAGUUUUCUGCAGGCAACUUUGUUGCAAACUAGUCUAGAAUAGUUAUUCUGCCAGGAUCUCUGAGUUUUGAACGGAGCAGGUAACCAGCCAAGGCCCCAGCGAAGGAUCAUUUCACAACAUUCGCCUCUAGCAAAGAAAGAUGCAUAACUUGGAAACAGUGACAGUUUUCUUUAUUCAACUUCGUAGCAAAGUAGUCUACAGUAGUUACUGUGUCAGGAUCUCCUGGUUUCCAACGGAAAAGUCAACCAGCCAAGGCCAGAGCGAGGGAUCUCUUCAGAGUGUGGCAAAGAACAGUAACAGUUCUCUUCAAGCUACCUUGUAGCUAGUUACUCUGUCAGGACCUCCAAUCUGAACAGUCAACCAGCCAAGGACAGAGCGAGAUUUUACUUCAGAGGUUAAGCUUUGUGUGCGUAUGAUUAUAGCGAUGCUGUUUUUAGCUUGUACAUAGUGUUCUUAGCUGAUAAUACGCUUUCUUAGCUUGUAAAGUGCACUGGCUCCAGCAGUGUGUUGAAGCCGAGUUUAAAAUACAGAAGCCUAUAUGUACGCUCAGCAGUGUUGCAAUGUAAAGGGGUCAUCAUUGAUUUGCUUAGCUAUCUGUUGGUCUCAUCCACAAUGUAUUCUGUUAUCAACUGUGAUGAAUGCUGGAAUUUUGUCUUGAAUCGGAGAUCGGAAAGUUUGGGCCAACAGAUUGGUUGAGAUGGUGGGAGUCCAUAGUCAGGCCAGGAGUGGAAAUGCUUACAUGGUAAGGUGAUUUCCAAACCAGAAACAAGACAUUGACGAACACUGGCCUAAACAAAGGUCUGUGAAACUAUCGUCACUGCUAUCUGCCAUGGAACCACCACCAUCUAAUGGGUCUGAGAAGUUCUACUCACUGUGACUACUAUCCAGGAUACCUAGGAGUACCUCAUCCCCUAUGUACAGAGGCAUUGAUGUACCAUAGAAUUAAUUGUAAUUGUAUUUUUUAUAAUGUAUGUUCACUUUUGAGAUUGAUAUUGAAAUACAAAUUUCACAUUAAAA